GUGUCAGCAGCCGCGCGGUAAUACGGAGGGCGCAAGCGUUAAUCGGAAUUACUGAGCGUAAAGCGCACGCAGGCGGUUUGUUAAGUCAGAUGUGAAAUCCCCGGGCUCAACCUGGGAACUGCACCUGAUACUGGCAAGCUUGAGUCUCGCAGAGGGGGGUAGAAUUCCAGGUGUAGCGGUGAAAUGCGUAGAGAUCUGGAGGAAUACCGGUGGCGAAGGCGGCCCCCUGGACGAAGACUGACGCUCAGGUGCGAAAGCGUGGGGAGCAAACAGGAUUAGAUACCCUGGUAGUCCACGCCGUAAACGAUGUCGACUUGGAGGUUGUGCCCUUGAGGCGUGGCUUCCGGAGCUAACGCGUUAAGUCGACCGCCUGGGGAGUACGGCCGCAAGGUUAAAACUCAAAUGAAUUGACGGGGGCCCGCACAAGCGGUGGAGCAUGUGGUUUAAUUCGAUGCAACGCGAAGAACCUUACCUGGUCUUGACAUCCACGGAAGUUUUCAGAGAUGAGAAUGUGCCUUCGGGAACCGUGAGACAGGUGCUGCAUGGCUGUCGUCAGCUCGUGUUGUGAAAUGUUGGGUUAAGUCCCGCAACGAGCGCAACCCUUAUCCUUUGUUGCCAGCGGUCCGGCCGGGAACUCAAAGGAGACUGCCAGUGAUAAACUGGAGGAAGGGUGGGGGAUGACGUCAAGUCAUCAUGGCCCUUACGACCAGGGCUACACACGUGCUACAAUGGCGCAUACAAAGAGAAGCGACCUCGCGAGAGCAAGCGGACCUCAUAAAGUGCGUCGUAGUCCGGGAUUGGAGUCUGCAACUCGACUCCAUGAAGUCGGAAUCGCUAGUAAUCGUGGAUCAG
Molecule: ribosomal RNA, 852 nt
Filed under: uncultured bacterium
Lineage: Bacteria
Description: bacterial SSU rRNA
Rfam family: Bacterial small subunit ribosomal RNA
Source: RNAcentral